ACAAGCGGCCAUAGGGAUUUGGUAUACCUGUACCCAUUUCGAACACAGAAGUCAAGCAAAUCUCCGAUUUAAGUUGUACUGUUUUCAAGAACGGGAAGCUUAAAUAGCUGCUACCU
RNAcentral lists this ribosomal RNA (116 nucleotides) under Candidatus Woesearchaeota archaeon. Lineage: Archaea; Nanobdellati; Candidatus Woesearchaeota. The record is from RNAcentral.